RNAcentral lists this ribosomal RNA (332 nucleotides) under uncultured fungus. Its description in RNAcentral is "SSU rRNA". It matches the Rfam family "Eukaryotic small subunit ribosomal RNA", at positions 39 to 352 of the family's 1831-position model. Lineage: Eukaryota; Fungi. The record is from RNAcentral.
AAAGAUUAAGCCAUGCAUGUCUCAGUACAAGCCAAAUUAAGGUGAAACCGCGAAAGGCUCAUUAAAUCAGUUAUGGUUCCCUAGAUCGUACCACACUUACUUGGAUAACUGUGGUAAUUCUAGAGCUAAUACAUGCAAACAGAGCUCCGACCGGAGACGGAAGGAGCGCUUUUAUUAGAUCAAAACCAAUCGGUGGCGGGCUUGCUCGUCAUCGUACACUUUGGUGACUCUGUAUAACUUUUUGCUGAUCGCAUGGUCUCGCACCGGCGACGCAUCUUUCAAAUGUCUGCCUUAUCAACUGUCGAUGGUAGGUUCUGCGCCUACCAUGGUUG